GCCAGUGUAGCAUAGUGGUUUGAGUGAUGGACUAUGACUCUGGUGACUAGGGUUCGAUUCCCCACUAGAC
Molecule: transfer RNA, 70 nt
Filed under: Phrynosoma platyrhinos (Desert horned lizard)
Lineage: Eukaryota; Metazoa; Chordata; Lepidosauria; Squamata; Phrynosomatidae
Description: tRNA-OTHER
Source: RNAcentral